This 440-nucleotide ribosomal RNA is filed under the name uncultured bacterium. RNAcentral describes it as "partial 16S ribosomal RNA". It matches the Rfam family "Bacterial small subunit ribosomal RNA", at positions 338 to 795 of the family's 1533-position model. The record is from RNAcentral.
CCUACGGGAGGCAGCAGUGGGGAAUAUUGCACAAUGGGGGGAACCCUGAUGCAGCGACGCCGCGUGAGUGAAGAAGUAUUUCGGUAUGUAAAGCUCUAUCAGCAGGGAAGAAAAUGACGGUACCUGACUAAGAAGCCCCGGCUAACUACGUGCCAGCAGCCGCGGUAAUACGUAGGGGGCAAGCGUUAUCCGGAUUUACUGGGUGUAAAGGGAGCGCAGACGGCUGUGCAAGUCUGGAGUGAAAGGCGGGGGCCCAACCCCCGGACUGCUCUGGAAACUGUAAAGCUGGAGUGCAGGAGAGGUAAGCGGAAUUCCUAGUGUAGCGGUGAAAUACGUAGAUAUUAGGAGGAACACCAGUGGCGAAGGCGGCUUACUGGACUGCAACUGACGUUGAGGCUCGAAAGCGUGGGGAGCAAACAGGAUUAGAUACCCUUGUAGUC